Alosa alosa (allis shad) is the source of this 158-nucleotide long non-coding RNA. RefSeq lists it as uncharacterized. The record is from RefSeq and is a predicted model, not a curated record. The transcript is spliced from 3 exons. NCBI's taxonomy places the organism in Eukaryota, Metazoa, Chordata, Actinopteri, Clupeiformes, Clupeidae.
AAGGUCAUCACAACCGCAUGCUGUUUUAUCUAGCAGCCAUGCACUUCAAUGAGAAUGCUGAGUCCCCACAACAGAAGACAGCCAAGGAGAAACUAUGUACAGACUUGCCAAACAAUUUAUCAUCAAAGACCCUCUUCCUUAUUGGGAUGCCGUCCAGC